GAAGCUUUCGCUGUGGUAAGUUCCUCUCCGUCCGCUCUCACAGAGCAUGAGUUUAAAACAUAUUUGAAAAUCCUCAUUGAAGCUAAUAUGACAGUGCACUAACUGCAUGAACUGCCCAUACGGUAGUACUUGAGUAGAUUUCAGGUUUAUGACCGUGUUUUGCAGUUAAUAGAUUAGACGGUAAGAAAAAUGGACACGUGGAGCUAGCGGCUAACAGCUAGAGGAGGCUGUCGUGUCUAAUAAUUUUGAAACUUCUCUCAAUAGUUUGGGCGGAAUCCUGUUGCUGAAACCCAUGGUUAUUCAUGUCCCAUGUUAUUGCAGGUAUGUGUACUUUGAAACAUGUAUAUGGUUGAGCUGCAGGCUAAUUCUGUUUAAGACAUAUUGCUUAUUAAGUUUGCCCAGUAGAUGGCAGCAUUGUUCCAUUUACUAUUGUACGUAAAAGGGAAUUUUGGCUUUGGUUUAUUUAUAUUUACAUGAAUGUGCAUUUAAGUGAAUUAAUUUUUCUUUUGUUAUCUAAACCACAACGCAGUAAUGUUUCUAUUUUAUUUUCCGUGAUAAGUAUUGUUGCCAUUUUAUUUUUCAAUCAAUAUUUGUUUUUAUUUAUUUGGGAAAACUAAGAGUUCCACUAUACGAUCAUAAGCCUAUCGUUAGUAGCAAUGAAGCUUUCGCUGUGUUUGGGCGGAAUCCUGUUGCUGAAACCCAUGGUUAUUCAUGUCCCAUGUUAUUGCAGGGGAAUAAAUCACGCCUGAGCUCUACCCACUUCGAGUCCAGAGAGUUUUAUUCACACAGCGCUGGAAAGAGAAGCUGACCAGGGGUUACAUUGGUGCCGUGAGCCGUCAAUCGAGUGUUUGGACGGUGGACUCCUCUCAGCAACGUGGGCCAGUUUCAGCGCUGCACUUUGGGCGGAAUCCUGUUGCUGAAACCCAUGGUUAUUCAUGUCCCAUGUUAUUGCAGGGGAAUAAAUCACGCCUGAGCUCUACCCACUUCGAGUCCAGAGAGUUUUAUUCACACAGCGCUGGAAAGAGAAGCUGACCAGGGGUUACACUAGCUA
Molecule: long non-coding RNA, 1051 nt
Organism: Astatotilapia calliptera (eastern happy)
Lineage: Eukaryota; Metazoa; Chordata; Actinopteri; Cichliformes; Cichlidae
Source: Ensembl